Lycium barbarum (goji berry) is the source of this 514-nucleotide long non-coding RNA. RefSeq lists it as uncharacterized. The transcript has 3 exons. Lineage: Eukaryota; Viridiplantae; Streptophyta; Magnoliopsida; Solanales; Solanaceae. The record is from RefSeq and is a predicted model, not a curated record.
AAAGCCAAGUUGAAGAGCUUCACCAUGAAGCUCACGGCCAAGGGUGGAGAAAAACCAACUCCACUUCAAGCCUUCUAAAAAUUAAUUUUUUGGUUCAAACCCACUAUAUCGAGGUCCCUAAGUGGCGUGGAAGUAUCGUUUGGGUCAUCCAACCAUUUAUUUUGCCCAUUUGCAAACCCUAGCCUAUUGGGGGAUUGAAGAAGAAAGACCUUGGGGAGCCCGAGGCGUAGAUUGGAUAUUUACUUUAGAUUGGCCAUCUUGGAGUGCGUACGAGGUACAGACGCACAGUUUGGUGAUUCACCAGUUUAGGACAUCCCCUUCUGCUGUUUGGAGUGCUCUUCUCAUUUCAGAGCAUAUAAGUUGGUAUAUAUAUUUGUUCGCCGAGUAUGUAUAUAUAUUUGUUCAGGGGUACGGCGGGGCCCUGUCCCGCCAUAUGAUUCGGUUGUCUGUUUAGAGGUCUGUAGACGUAGUUGUGGGUGUGUGUGCCUACUUCUGUUCCGAUGUGUUUGUAUGA